AGAGGUUGUCCCAAGAGACAUGAGCAUGAAAGACAGAUUUAUAGAACAUUUUACAGCAGGACCAGUCAAGUUUCCAUCUGAAUGCAGGACACAUUUCCAUAGAAUUUAUCACAAUACAAGGGAAUGUUCCAGACCGUCAUAUUAUAAAAGAUGUGCACGAUUGCUAACAAGGCUAGUUAUGAGUCCCCUUUGCACACAAUCAUAGAAAUGCAUGUCCUGAGGAUAUAAACGAAGAAACUUCAGAGAUGUUGGAGUAAUUAAUUUUUUCCAAGGAAGUGCCUUCAAAUCACUGCAAUUAACUGUCAUUGUUUUCAUGUCAUUUCCAUUUACAAAGUAUAAUUGUUC
Molecule: long non-coding RNA, 345 nt
Organism: Sinocyclocheilus rhinocerous
Lineage: Eukaryota; Metazoa; Chordata; Actinopteri; Cypriniformes; Cyprinidae
Exons: 4
Source: RefSeq, a predicted model, not a curated record